CCUACGGGAGGCAGCAGUGAGGAAUAUUGGUCAAUGGUCGGGAGACUGAACCAGCAAAGCCGCGUGAGGGAUGAAGGUACAGAGUAUCGUAACCCUCUUUUGUCAGGGACCAAAGGCGGGGCCGCGUCCCCGGAGGAGUGUACCUGAAGAAAAGGCAUCGGCUACCUCCGUGCCAGCAGCGCCGGUAAUACGGGGGAGGCGAGCGUUAUCCGGAUUUAUUGGGUUUAAGGGGUGCGCAGGCGGGCUGUUAAGUCGGCGGUCAAAGCCCGGGGCUCAACCCCGGCCCGCCGUUGAAACUGGGAGCCUCGAGUUGGAGGGAAGUAUGCGGAAUGCGCGGUGUAGCGGUGAAAUGCAUAGAUAUCGCGCAGAACUCCGAUUGCGAAGGCAGCAUGCCGGCUCCACACUGACGCUGAGGCACGAAAGCGUGGGUAUCGAACAGGAUUAGAUACCCUAGUAGUC
RNAcentral lists this ribosomal RNA (459 nucleotides) under uncultured bacterium. Its description in RNAcentral is "partial 16S ribosomal RNA". It matches the Rfam family "Bacterial small subunit ribosomal RNA", at positions 338 to 795 of the family's 1533-position model. The record is from RNAcentral.